GCGGUUCUGGGGUGUAAAAAUCACACAAAAAAGACAAAAGGAACUAAAAUUAAGUAUUUUCGAUUUCCAAAACAAGAAGACCUUGCUAAACAAUGGGUAAUUAGGUGUCACCGAGGAGACAAAAUUAAUCUGAAAAAUGCAUGCAUUUGUUCAGAACAUUUUGAACAGGAUUGUUAUGAAGUGCCUUUAAGACAGCGGUUACUGAAUUAUAAUCCAAGGAAUACUAGGAUUUUAAAAGAAGAUGCUUUGCCAACUUUCAAUUUGCCAUUAGCGAAGUCCUCAAUGUCAUCACAACUAAAAGAAAAUCUUAGUCCAAUGCUCAAACCCUCGACGAGCACAAACAGUGUAUCUUAUGAAGACACUAGCAUCAAUAUGGACAUUGAUUCUCUGCCUAAAAUAAAUCCAUGUCAAGAACACCUAGACAAAAUAGAGAAACUCACAGCAAAAGUUUCAGUGUUAAGGCAAAAAAAUAAAAUGCUUUUAAAGAUACUUCAGAAAAAAAAUCAAAGAGGGAAGUGGAUGAAAACAUCUUUAAUGAAAAUUUUCUUUCCAGGACAAAUAAAAAAACUGGAACAUCCUGAAAAGAAAACUGUUCAUUGGAGCCCGGAGGACAUUGCAUCGGCCAUAUCUUUACGCAGUGUCAGCCCCAAAGCUUAUAGAUAUUUACGAGCUAAUGGCUAUCCUCUACCAGGGCUCUCAACUCUUAGAACCUGGGCAGCCACUUUUGAUU
Molecule: long non-coding RNA, 730 nt
Organism: Anthonomus grandis grandis
Lineage: Eukaryota; Metazoa; Arthropoda; Insecta; Coleoptera; Curculionidae
Exons: 3
Source: RefSeq, a predicted model, not a curated record